Molecule: ribosomal RNA, 500 nt
Filed under: uncultured bacterium
Lineage: Bacteria
Description: partial 16S ribosomal RNA
Rfam family: Bacterial small subunit ribosomal RNA
Source: RNAcentral
AUUGAACGCUGGCGGCAUGCCUUACACAUGCAAGUCGAACGGCAGCACGGACUUCGGUCUGGUGGCGAGUGGCGAACGGGUGAGUAAUAUAUCGGAACAUACCUUGUAGUGGGGGAUAACUAUCCGAAAGGAUAGCUAAUACCGCAUACGCUCUAAGGAGGAAAGUGGGGGAUCGCAAGACCUCAUGCUAUAAGAGUGGCCGAUAUCUGAUUAGCUAGUUGGUGAGGUAAAGGCUCACCAAGGCGACGAUCAGUAGCUGGUCUGAGAGGACGACCAGCCGAACUGGAAAUGAGACACGGUCCAGACUCCUACGGGAGGCAGCAGCGGGGAAUUUUGGACAAUGGGGGCAACCCUGAUCCAGCAAUGCCGCGUGAGUGAAGAAGGCCUUCGGGUUGUAAAGCUCUUUUGUCAGGGAAGAAACGGUUGUGGCUAAUAUCCAUGGCUAAUGACGGUACCUGAAGAAUAAGCACCGGCUAACUACGUGCCAGCAGCCGCCGUAA